This 497-nucleotide ribosomal RNA is filed under the name uncultured bacterium. RNAcentral describes it as "partial 16S ribosomal RNA". It matches the Rfam family "Bacterial small subunit ribosomal RNA", at positions 29 to 507 of the family's 1533-position model. The record is from RNAcentral.
AAUGAACGCUGGCGGCGUGCCUAAUACAUGCAAGUCGAGCGAACGCACGAGGAGCUUUUUCUUUUACCGUUAGCGGGGGACGGGCGAGUAACACGUGGAUAACCAUCUUAUAAUUCUGGGAUAAUUUCGGGAAACCGCAGCCACUACCGGCUAAUAUUUCGUACCGCUUGGUUCAAGAGUUAAAGGGGCCUUUGCUAUUUCUUAUAGAUGGACUCGGGCCGGAUUAGCUAGUUGGUAAGGUAACGGCUUACCAAGGCAACGAUACGUAGCCGACCUGAGAGGAUGAUCGGCCACACUGGAACUGAGACACGGUCCAGACUCUUACGGGAGGCAGCAGUAGGGAAUCUUCCGCAAUGGGCGAAAGCCUGACGGAGCAACGCCGCGUGGGUGAUGAAGGUCUUCGGAUCGUAAAACUCUGUUAUUAGGGAAGAACAAACGUGUAAGUAACUGUGCACGUCUUGACGGUACCUAAUCAGAAAGCCACGGCUAACUUCGUG